Molecule: ribosomal RNA, 245 nt
Filed under: uncultured bacterium
Lineage: Bacteria
Description: partial 16S ribosomal RNA
Rfam family: Bacterial small subunit ribosomal RNA
Source: RNAcentral
GACGGAGGGGGCAAGCGUUGUCCGGACUCACUGGGCGUAAAGCGCACGUAGGUGGCGCGGUGCGUCGGUACUGAAAGCGCCCGGCUUAACCGGGCGAGGCGUGCCGAUACGACCGGGCUUGAGGCAGGCAGAGGGUGGCGGAAUUCCGGGUGUAGUGGUGAAAUGCGUAGAGAUCCGGAGGAACGCCUGUGGCGCAAGCGGCCACCUGGGCCUGACCUGACACUGAGGUGCGAAAGCGUGGGGAG